GGGGGCAACCCUGAUCCAGCAAUGCCGCGUGUGUGAAGAAGGCCUUCGGGUUGUAAAGCACUUUUGUCCGGAAAGAAAUCGCGCUGGUUAAUACCUGGCGUGGAUGACGGUACCGGAAGAAUAAGCACCGGCUAACUACGUGCCAGCAGCCGCGGUAAUACGUAGGGUGCGAGCGUUAAUUGGAAUUACUGGGCGUAAAGCGUGCGCAGGCGGUUUUGUAAGACAGGCGUGAAAUCCCCGGGCUUAACCUGGGAAUUGCGCUUGUGACUGCAAGGUUAGAGUGCGUCAGAGGGGGGUAGAAUUCCGCGUGUAGCAGUGAAAUGCGUAGAGAUGUGGAGGAAUACCGAUGGCGAAGGCAGCCCCCUGGGACGUGACUGACGCUCAUGCACGAAAGCGUGGGGAGCAAACAGGAUUAGAUACCCUGGUAGUCCACGCCCUAAACGAUGUCAACUAGUUGUUGGGGAUUCAUUUUCUCAGUAACGUAGCUAACGCGUGAAGUUGACCGCCUGGGGAGUACGGUCGCAAGAUUAAAACU
RNAcentral lists this ribosomal RNA (535 nucleotides) under uncultured bacterium. Its description in RNAcentral is "bacterial SSU rRNA". It matches the Rfam family "Bacterial small subunit ribosomal RNA", at positions 373 to 901 of the family's 1533-position model. The record is from RNAcentral.